Sycon ciliatum is the source of this 449-nucleotide long non-coding RNA. RefSeq lists it as uncharacterized. The record is from RefSeq and is a predicted model, not a curated record. The transcript is spliced from 5 exons. Lineage: Eukaryota; Metazoa; Porifera; Calcarea; Leucosolenida; Sycettidae.
AGGAAAGCACCGUGAUCGUCCCGAAAAUGUGUACUGUACUGUGAGUAUGACCGUGUGGCAUGGCAGGCGGUAAAGUCUUGUCUAUCCUCACUUUGUGCUUGGCAGUCGUCGUGUAAACAUCUUCGAUUGCUCUCUUGGUGAUAACAACGCAAGCAGUCAUUCACUGUACUCAAACGGAGGUGUUUUGCUAGAGCUGGUUGCGCUAUGGCUUUCUCUGCACUGAUUGGAUUGGCCCUGCUGGCUAUUCUUCAGCCUGCUUACUCAAAGUUUGAACUAAAUCGAAUUCCUUCACGUACAUGCUUUGGACAAACCGUCCUUAGUAUAAAGGUGGCAUAUAUGGUCAAUUGCAUCACUAAAUGCGCGGAUUCCGGGAAGUUAGACAUUAAGUUGGAUAUUACUAAACGUUAUUAUAAUUUGACCAAAUGCCAAGGUAAGUGGUGUUCUGCUAC